Molecule: ribosomal RNA, 395 nt
Filed under: uncultured soil bacterium
Lineage: Bacteria
Description: bacterial SSU rRNA
Rfam family: Bacterial small subunit ribosomal RNA
Source: RNAcentral
AGAACGAACGCUGGCGGCAUGCCUAAUACAUGCAAGUCGAACGAACUCUUCGGAGUUAGUGGCGCACGGGUGCGUAACGCGUGGGAAUCUGCCCCUUGGUUCGGAAUAACAGUUGGAAACGACUGCUAAUACCGGAUGAUGACGAAAGUCCAAAGAUUUAUCGCCAAGGGAUGAGCCCGCGUAGGAUUAGCUAGUUGGUGAGGUAAAGGCUCACCAAGGCAACGAUCCUUAGCUGGUCUGAGAGGAUGAUCAGCCACACUGGGACUGAGACACGGCCCAGACUCCUACGGGAGGCAGCAGUAGGGAAUAGUUGGACAAGUGGGCGAAAGCCUGAUCCAGCAAUGCCGCGUGAGUGAUGAAGCGUUAGGUGUAAAGCUACUUUACCGAGUAUAGAA